AGAGUUUGAUCAUGGCUCAGGACGAACGCNNGCGGCGUGCUUAACACAUGCAAGUCGAGCGAGUUGAUUCCUUCGGGGAUGAAGCUAGCGGCGGACGGGUGAGUAACACGUGGCAACCUGCCUUAUAGAGGGGGAUAGCCUUCCGAAAGGAAGAUUAAUCCGCAUAACAUCAGAUUACCGCAUGGUAGACUGAUCAAAGGAGCAAUCCGCUAUAAGAUGGGCCCGCGUCGCAUUAGCUAGUUGGUGAGGUAACGGCUCACCAAGGCGACGAUGCGUAGCCGACCUGAGAGGGUGAUCGGCCACAUUGGGACUGAGACACGGCCCAGACUCCUACGGGAGGCAGCAGUGGGGAAUAUUGCACAAUGGGGGAAACCCUGAUGCAGCAACGCCGCGUGAGUGAUGAAGGCCUUCGGGUUGUAAAGCUCUUUGAUCAGGGACGAUAAUGACGGUACCUGAAGAACAAGCCACGGCUAACUACGUGCCAGCAGCCGCGGUAAUACGUAGGUGGCAAGCGUUGUCCGGAUUUACUGGGCGUAAAGGGAGCGUAGGUGGAUAUUUAAGUGGGAUGUGAAAUCCCCGGGCUUAACCUGGGGGCUGCAUUCCAAACUGGAUGUCUAGAGUGCAGGAGAGGAGAGUGGAAUUCCUAGUGUAGCGGUGAAAUGCGUAGAGAUUAGGAAGAACACCAGUGGCGAAGGCGACUCUCUGGACUGUAACUGACACUGAGGCUCGAAAGCGUGGGGAGCAAACAGGAUUAGAUACCCUAGUAGUCC
Molecule: ribosomal RNA, 770 nt
Filed under: uncultured bacterium
Lineage: Bacteria
Description: bacterial SSU rRNA
Rfam family: Bacterial small subunit ribosomal RNA
Source: RNAcentral